UACGAAGGGGGCUAGCGUUGCUCGGAAUCACUGGGCGUAAAGCGCACGUAGGCGGCUUUUUAAGUCAGGGGUGAAAUCCUGGAGCUCAACUCCAGAACUGCCUUUGAUACUGAGAAGCUUGAGUCCGGGAGAGGUGAGUGGAACUGCGAGUGUAGAGGUGAAAUUCGUAGAUAUUCGCAAGAACACCAGUGGCGAAGGCGGCUCACUGGCCCGGUACUGACGCUGAGGCGCGAAAGCGAGGGGAGCAAACGGG
Molecule: ribosomal RNA, 253 nt
Filed under: uncultured bacterium
Lineage: Bacteria
Description: partial 16S ribosomal RNA
Rfam family: Bacterial small subunit ribosomal RNA
Source: RNAcentral